Molecule: transfer RNA, 69 nt
Filed under: uncultured Nitrobacter sp.
Lineage: Bacteria; Pseudomonadati; Pseudomonadota; Alphaproteobacteria; Hyphomicrobiales; Nitrobacteraceae
Also listed under: 1 other name
Rfam family: tRNA
About the family: Transfer RNA (tRNA) molecules are approximately 80 nucleotides in length. Their secondary structure includes four short double-helical elements and three loops (D, anti-codon, and T loops). Further hydrogen bonds mediate the characteristic L-shaped molecular structure. tRNAs have two regions of fundamental functional importance: the anti-codon, which is responsible for specific mRNA codon recognition, and the 3' end, to which the tRNAs corresponding amino acid is attached (by aminoacyl-tRNA synthetases). tRNAs cope with the degeneracy of the genetic code in two manners: having more than one tRNA (with a specific anti-codon) for a particular amino acid; and 'wobble' base-pairing, i.e. permitting non-standard base-pairing at the 3rd anti-codon position.
Source: RNAcentral
GGGAGUAGCUCAGUUGGUUAGAGCGCCGCCCUGUCACGGCGGAGGCCGCGGGUUCGAGUCCCGUCUCUC